Non-coding RNA from Manis javanica (Malayan pangolin), 866 nucleotides. Lineage: Eukaryota; Metazoa; Chordata; Mammalia; Pholidota; Manidae. The record is from RefSeq and is a predicted model, not a curated record.
GCUGCCAGGAGUCAUGCUGGCCUGAGGAGGUGGCUCAGCAGUGCCUCUGGGCCCCGUGCAGUGAUGCCCCAGGUCAGGCCUUCGCCCCACACAGGCCCAGGAUGUCCGCAGGCGCCCUGCCAGUGUGCUCCGGAGCGCUCAGAGGCCUGCGCACAGGCUUCCCUGCACGGCGUCUGCCUCCCCCCUGGUGCUGGCCUGGGAAUGAGGGAGGCCCUGGGAGCCCACCCAGGCAGUGCGGGGCCUUCUUCACUUCUGAUGAGAAGUCAGCUGUGGAAGGGUUCUGCUUAGUGCCCAGGAGACCUGAGCAGGGUCAGCCUCAGCCUACCAGGGACUUUGCUCAGUUCCCUAAUAAGGUGCUUUUCAUGCUGGCCUGAGGAGGGGCCGCCCCACCAGGAGCCUCCUGGCGCACCCACCAGCUGCCUGCGCUCAGGAUGAGCCCUGCCUCCUCCCCACUGCACGCCCGGGGGGCAGCUGACUGCAGGACUGGGUGCCACGCGGCUCUGUGAUGCGCUUUGCUCAGAGACAUCAAGGCCUCUUUCCCGGGAGGAGGAGGCCUGGGAGGUGCCUGGGAGAUUCACAUGAAGCCCCACGCCAAGAGCACUGUGUUGGGAGAGAGGCUUUGGGAGGUGAUUGCGCUUCAGUGAGGGCAGAGGGGGUCCUGACUGGAUAGGACCGUGGCCUUACAAGACCUGCCUCCAAUCCCAUGUACACAAGCCAAGGAAAGUCCUUGUGAGGACACCAGGAAGACGGCCGUCCACACGCUGAGAAGCCAGCUCCCACCAGAAACCUUAUCAGCUGAUGCCUCGUCUUGGACUUCCCAGUGCCCGUAUCUGGGAGAAAUAAAAGCCUGCUGUUGAAGCCGCCCA